Molecule: ribosomal RNA, 253 nt
Filed under: uncultured bacterium
Lineage: Bacteria
Description: partial 16S ribosomal RNA
Rfam family: Bacterial small subunit ribosomal RNA
Source: RNAcentral
GACGGAGGAUGCAAGUGUUAUCCGGAAUCACUGGGCGUAAAGCGUCUGUAGGUGGUUAAAUAAGUCAACUGUUAAAUCUUGAGGCUCAACCUCAAAAUCGCAGUCGAAACUAUUUGACUAGAGUAUAGUAGGGGUAAAGGGAAUUUCCAGUGGAGCGGUGGAAUGCGUAGAGAUUGGAAAGAACACCGAUGGCGAAGGCACUUUACUGGGCUAUUACUAACACUGAGAGACGAAAGCUAGGGUAGCAAAUGGG